Molecule: ribosomal RNA, 119 nt
Organism: Gasterosteus aculeatus (three-spined stickleback)
Lineage: Eukaryota; Metazoa; Chordata; Actinopteri; Perciformes; Gasterosteidae
Source: Ensembl
GCUUACGGCCAUACCUCUCUGGCUCCACCUGAUCUCGUCUGAUCUCAGAAGCAAAGCGGAGUAGUGCCUGGUUAGUACUUGGAUGGAAGACCGCCUGGGAAUCCCAGUUGCCGUAAGUA